AUGCACCUGUGUGCCUUUGGGGCUGGGGUGGGCACGGCUCAAUUUGCCCCAAGGUUCUGUGCGAAAGGGAUUGGUCUCACCAAAAUGCAGCCCUGUGAAGCACAAGAUGCCGAAGAAAACAGGGAACCUCUCCUCCCUGCUUUAUCCCAGGCUAUGGAGGAUUCCUCCAUGCCUUGUGAUGCAUUAAUAUUUUUUUUUUUUCCAGUGGUGGACCAUGGGUCCCCCCUGUCCGCAGGCAGCCGUUGUGCUCUGCCCCAGCCGGGCUGUUUUUUCCCCAAGCAGGUGUCGGGUGCGUGCCAUCGGGGUGCUGACUCUGUCUCCUGGCCAAGGAGCUGCAGGAGGAGAAAGCAAGCGCUGUUUGCUCCCCUUGUUUGCUUUCCUUCAUGCCGUGACACGCCGGGCAUCCCACGUGUGCUGCCCAUUGACCAGGCGGUGUUUUGUCUGCAGGGGAAGGCGGCGGCGGAGGUGCUGUGGGGAUGUUUGCAGAGGUCGGGACACCUCGGUCGGUGCCUCCGGCCCAUCUCCACAGCUCCUGCACCCCGCAGGGUGCAGGGCCAGGGGGUGAGUGUGCACCCUGAGCCGUGUCACCGUCCCCUCUGUGGCACAAGGCUCCUUUUCUCCUCCUGGGCUGCUUGCAGGGCACGCCAGGCACCCGCUGCACAUUCCCCACCCCGGGGAAUAGCUGGGAUUCUUGCAUUUCCUCCCCCAAAAUGGCACCAAAGGGAGCAGCAGCAGGCAGAGGAUGGAGUCCCUGAGCAGCAGGAACCCCCCGAGCUCCCCAGAGACUUUUCCAGCCACAAGGUGCAAGAAAUCACUGGCAGAGCUGCUUUUUGCACCAGCACCUCGGAGCUGGGGUGCUCCGCAACAGCUUUUGGUUUGGAGCCCUGCGAGGCUGCAGAUUCCCGGAGUGCCCACUCGCUGCUGUGCCCCGUGGUGACUGCCGUGAAGCCCCAGCUCCUGGCGCUGUGCCCUCUGCGGAGGAGCUUGGCUCUUGUUCAGGGCCUCACAGCACAGAGAUCGCAAGGGAGCACAGGGCAAAGAAACCCCAGCGGCACACACACAACUAAAACCCCUCUCGUGCUCGUUUUGCUUUUUCAGGAAGAAGCCUGGGGGAGAGGAUUGAGGGUUUUUUUUUCAGGCUGA
RNAcentral lists this long non-coding RNA (1143 nucleotides) under Cairina moschata (Muscovy duck). RNAcentral's name for it is "domestica (muscovy Duck (domestic type)) lncRNA (ENSCMMG00000016192.1)". Lineage: Eukaryota; Metazoa; Chordata; Aves; Anseriformes; Anatidae. The record is from RNAcentral.